UACAGAGACCUCAAGCGUUGUUCGGAAUUACUGGGCGUAAAGGGUUCGUAGGUGGCAGAGCAAGUCAGAUGUGAAAUCCCUGGGCUUAACCUAGGAAGUGCAUUUGAUACUGCUUAGCUCGAGUGUGGAAGAGGAAAGUGGAAUUCCAGGUGUAGGGGUGAAAUCCGUAGAUAUCUGGAGGAAUACCAAUGGUGAAGACAGUUUUCUGGUCCAUUACUGACACUGAGGAACGAAAGCGUGGGGAUCAAACAGG
This 253-nucleotide ribosomal RNA is filed under the name uncultured bacterium. Its description in RNAcentral is "partial 16S ribosomal RNA". It matches the Rfam family "Bacterial small subunit ribosomal RNA", at positions 524 to 776 of the family's 1533-position model. The record is from RNAcentral.